GAGGUUUGUGACUGAGUGGCGGACGGGUGAGUAACGCGUGGGUAACCUGCCUCAUACAGGGGGAUAACAGUUAGAAAUGACUGCUAAUACCGCAUAAGACCACAGAGCCGCAUGGCUCAGUGGGAAAAACUCCGGUGGUAUGAGAUGGACCCGCGUCUGAUUAGGUAGUUGGUGGGGUAACGGCCUACCAAGCCAACGAUCAGUAGCCGACCUGAGAGGGUGACCGGCCACAUUGGGACUGAGACACGGCCCAAACUCCUACGGGAGGCAGCAGUGGGGAAUAUUGCACAAUGGGGGAAACCCUGAUGCAGCGACGCCGCGUGAGCGAAGAAGUAUUUCGGUAUGUAAAGCUCUAUCAGCAGGGAAGAAAAUGACGGUACCUGACUAAGAAGCACCGGCUAAAUACGUGCCAGCAACCGCGGUAAUACGUAUGGUGCAAGCGUUAUCCGGAUUUACUGGGUGUAAAGGGAGCGUAGACGGCUGUGUAAGUCUGAAGUGAAAGCCCGGGGCUCAACCCCGGGACUGCUUUGGAAACUAUGCAGCUAGAGUGUCGGAGAGGUAAGUGGAAUUCCCAGUGUAGAGGUGAAAUGCGUAGAUAUUGGGAGGAACACCAGUGGCGAAGGCGGCUUACUGGACGAUGACUGACGUUGAGGCUCGAAAGCGUGGGGAGCAAACAGGAUUAGAUACCCUGGUAGUCCACGCUGUAAACGAUGACUACUAGGUGUCGGGGAGCAA
Molecule: ribosomal RNA, 735 nt
Filed under: uncultured bacterium
Lineage: Bacteria
Description: bacterial SSU rRNA
Rfam family: Bacterial small subunit ribosomal RNA
Source: RNAcentral